ACGCAUUAAGCACUCCGCCUGGGGAGUACGACCGCAAGGUUGAAACUCAAAGGAAUUGACGGGGGCCCGCACAAGCGGUGGAGCAUGUGGUUUAAUUCGAAGCAACGCGAAGAACCUUACCAGGUCUUGACAUCCUUUGACCACUCUAGAGAUAGAGCUUUCCCUUCGGGGACAAAGUGACAGGUGGUGCAUGGUUGUCGUCAGCUCGUGUCGUGAGAUGUUGGGUUAAGUCCCGCAACGAGCGCAACCCUUAUUGUUAGUUGCCAUCAUUUAGUUGGGCACUCUAGCGAGACUGCCGGUGACAAACCGGAGGAAGGUGGGGAUGACGUCAAAUCAUCAUGCCCCUUAUGACCUGGGCUACACACGUGCUACAAUGGGAAGUACAACGAGUCGCUAGACCGCGAGGUCAUGCAAAUCUCUUAAAGCUUCUCUCAGUUCGGAUUGCAGGCUGCAACUCGCCUGCAUGAAGCCGGAAUCGCUAGUAAUCGCGGAUCAGCACGCCGCGGUGAAUACGUUCCCGGGCCUUGUACACACCGCCCGUCACACCACGAGAGUUUGUAACACCCGAAGUCGGUGAGGUAACCUUUUGGAGCCAGCCGCCUAAGGUGGGAUAGAUGAUGGGGUG
This 625-nucleotide ribosomal RNA is filed under the name uncultured Enterococcus sp. RNAcentral describes it as "bacterial SSU rRNA". It matches the Rfam family "Bacterial small subunit ribosomal RNA", at positions 855 to 1482 of the family's 1533-position model. Lineage: Bacteria; Bacillati; Bacillota; Bacilli; Lactobacillales; Enterococcaceae. The record is from RNAcentral.